RNAcentral lists this ribosomal RNA (224 nucleotides) under uncultured bacterium. RNAcentral's name for it is "partial 16S ribosomal RNA". It matches the Rfam family "Bacterial small subunit ribosomal RNA", at positions 943 to 1167 of the family's 1533-position model. The record is from RNAcentral.
GGUUUAAUUCGAUGAUACGCGAGGAACCUUACCCGGGCUUGAACUGCAGGCGAACGAUUCAGAGAUGAUGAGGCCCUUCGGGGCGCCUGUGGAGGUGCUGCAUGGUUGUCGUCAGCUCGUGCCGUGAGGUGUCGGCUUAAGUGCCAUAACGAGCGCAACCCCUGUUCUCAGUUGCCAUCGGGUGAAGCCGGGCACUCUGUGAAGACUGCCUCCGCAAGGAGUGA